UCCGAGGUAGCUCAACCGGUAGAGUAACCAGUGUCACCUGGUUGGAUGCAGGUUCGAAGCCUGCCCUCGAAGCCA
This 75-nucleotide transfer RNA is filed under the name Candidatus Vogelbacteria bacterium CG10_big_fil_rev_8_21_14_0_10_51_16. Its description in RNAcentral is "tRNA-OTHER". It matches the Rfam family "tRNA". Rfam says of the family: Transfer RNA (tRNA) molecules are approximately 80 nucleotides in length. Their secondary structure includes four short double-helical elements and three loops (D, anti-codon, and T loops). Further hydrogen bonds mediate the characteristic L-shaped molecular structure. tRNAs have two regions of fundamental functional importance: the anti-codon, which is responsible for specific mRNA codon recognition, and the 3' end, to which the tRNAs corresponding amino acid is attached (by aminoacyl-tRNA synthetases). tRNAs cope with the degeneracy of the genetic code in two manners: having more than one tRNA (with a specific anti-codon) for a particular amino acid; and 'wobble' base-pairing, i.e. permitting non-standard base-pairing at the 3rd anti-codon position. The record is from RNAcentral. Lineage: Bacteria; Candidatus Vogeliibacteriota.